This 468-nucleotide ribosomal RNA is filed under the name uncultured bacterium. RNAcentral's name for it is "partial 16S ribosomal RNA". It matches the Rfam family "Bacterial small subunit ribosomal RNA", at positions 28 to 507 of the family's 1533-position model. The record is from RNAcentral.
GACGAACGCUGGCGGCGUGCUUAACACAUGCAAGUCGAACGGAAAGGCCCUGCUGUGGUGGGACGCUCGAGGGGCGAAUGGGUAAGUAACAAGUGAGUAACCUGCCCUUGACUUUGGGAUAACGGCAGGAAACUGGGGCUAAUACCGGAUAGGAGCUCCGGCUGCAGGGUGGGGGUUGGAAAGUUGCGGCGGGGGGGGAUGGACUCGCGGCUUAUCAGCUUGUUGGUGGGGUAGUGGCUUACCAAGGCUUUGACGGGUAGCCGGCCUGAGAGGGUGACCGGCCACAUUGGGACUGAGAUACGGCCCAGACUCCUACGGGAGGCAGCAGUGGGGAAUAUUGCACAAUGGGCGGAAGCCUGAUGCAGCAACGCCGCGUGCGGGAUGACGGCCUUCGGGUUGUAAACCGCUUUCGCCUGUGACGAAGCGUGAGUGACGGUAAUGGGUAAAGAAGCACCGGCUAACUACGUG